RNAcentral lists this ribosomal RNA (476 nucleotides) under uncultured bacterium. Its description in RNAcentral is "SSU rRNA". It matches the Rfam family "Bacterial small subunit ribosomal RNA", at positions 26 to 518 of the family's 1533-position model. The record is from RNAcentral.
AGGACGAACGCUGGCGGCACGCUUAACACAUGCAAGUCGAACGUGAAGCUCGGAGCUUGCUCCGGGUGGAAAGUGGCGAACGGGUGAGUAACACGUGAGGAACCUGCCCCGAAGACUGGGAUAACACCGGGAAACCGGUGCUAAUACUGGAUGCCUUCUCCGGAUCGCAUGAUCUGGCGAAGAAAUGGAUUCCGCUUCGGGAUGGCCUCGCGGCCUAUCAGCUAGUUGGUGGGUAACGGCCUACCAAGGCAACGACGGGUAGCUGGUCUGAGAGGAUGUCCAGCCACACUGGGACUGAGACACGGCCCAGACUCCUACGGGAGGCAGCAGUGGGGAAUCUUGCGCAAUGGGCGAAAGCCUGACGCAGCGAUGCCGCGUGCGGGAUGAAGGCCUUAGGGUUGUAAAGCUCUUUUGCCAGGGAUGAUAAUGACAGUACCUGGAGAAUAAGCUCCGGCUAACUCCGUGCCAGCAGCCGC